UACGGGGGGGGCAAGCGUUGUUCGGAAUUACUGGGCGUAAAGGGCGCGUAGGCGGUUGGAUAAGUCAGCUGUGAAAACCACGGGCUUAACUCGUGGCCUGCAGUUGAGACUGUCUGGCUUGAGUGUGGGAGAGGAGAGUGGAAUUCCUGGUGUAGCGGUGAAAUGCGUAGAUAUCAGGAGGGACACCGGUGGCGAAGGCGGCUCUCUGGACCACAACUGACGCUGAGGCGCGAAAGCUAGGGGAGCAAACAGG
Molecule: ribosomal RNA, 253 nt
Filed under: uncultured bacterium
Lineage: Bacteria
Description: partial 16S ribosomal RNA
Rfam family: Bacterial small subunit ribosomal RNA
Source: RNAcentral